This 396-nucleotide ribosomal RNA is filed under the name Crypteronia paniculata. RNAcentral describes it as "eukaryotic LSU rRNA". The stretch from base 287 to 396 matches the Rfam family "Eukaryotic large subunit ribosomal RNA", at positions 1 to 110 of the family's 3401-position model. Lineage: Eukaryota; Viridiplantae; Streptophyta; Magnoliopsida; Myrtales; Crypteroniaceae. The record is from RNAcentral.
AGUCUUUGAACGCAAGUUGCGCCCAAAGCCGUUCGGCUGAGGGCACGUCUGCCUGGGCGUCACGCACUAUGUUGCCCCACUCAUUCUCCCCAAACCAGUGUUGGGAAGAUGUGAUGGGUGCGGAUAUUGGCCUCCCGAGACGCCCGUCGUUUCGGCUGGCCUAAAAUCAAGCACCGCAACAAUAAAGCACCACGACACGUGGCGGAUCGAAUCGAACAAGCUCGAGAAGGCAGUGUCUCGUGCACUUUAUUGUUAGCGAGCUCAGGGACUCGAACACACAUCACUGCGACCCCAGGUCAGGCGGGGCUACCCGCUGAGUUUAAGCAUAUCAAUAAGCGGAGGAAAAGAAACUAACAAGGAUUCCCUUAGUAACGGCGAGCGAACCGGGAAAAGCCC